Molecule: ribosomal RNA, 92 nt
Filed under: Propithecus coquereli (Coquerel's sifaka)
Lineage: Eukaryota; Metazoa; Chordata; Mammalia; Primates; Indriidae
Source: RNAcentral
GGAUACGGCCAUACCACCCUGAACGCACUCGUCUGAUCUCGGAAGCUAAGCAGGGUCGGGCCUGGUUAGUACUAGGAUGGGAGGCAUAUUAC